Long non-coding RNA from Ictalurus punctatus (channel catfish), 1533 nucleotides. The record is from Ensembl. NCBI's taxonomy places the organism in Eukaryota, Metazoa, Chordata, Actinopteri, Siluriformes, Ictaluridae.
GCGUGAUUUAAUACAGUAAGUUUUACACUAUAUAGCACCGUAACUUGUAAAAUAUUUAGUAAGGUAAGUUAUACACUAUAUAUAGUACAUUCUUUCUUUCUUUCUUUUUUCGAUGUUAAAUAGUAUUUAUUACUAUUUUAUAAUGUAUAAUGCUGUUUUAACGGUUGUCUGUCCCACUAGUUAGUACAGUAGGUUUCAUACUAUUUCACUUCAGGAGGCUGUACACUGUUUAGUACAGUAGGAUUCAUACUAUUUCACUGCAUGAGGCUGUACACUGUUUAGUAUGGUACGAUUCAUACUAUUUCACUGCAUGAGGCUGUACACUGUUUAGUACAGUAGGUUUCAUACUAUUUCACUUCAGGAGGCUAUACACUGUUUAGUACAGUAGGAUUCAUACUAUUUCACUGCAUGAGGCUGUACACUGUUUAGUACAGUAGGUUUCAUACUAUUUCACUUCAGGAGGCUAUACACUGUUUAGUACAGUAGGUUUCAUACUAUUUCACUUCAGGAGGCUAUACACUGUUAGUACAGUAGGUUUCAUACUAUUUCACUUCAGGAGGCUGUACACUGUUUAGUACUGUAGGAUUCAUACUAUUAUUUCACAAACCCGUGAACAGAAGAACAGAGGUAAAAGUUACAGUUAUUUUGUCUCUCCUAUGUCGGUAAAUGUUCACAGUUUCAACCAAAAGGUACAACAGAACUUCUUUUUUUUUUUUUUUUUGUAAGCAUCCUACGGCUUUUUGAGAACGUUUAUUCACGUCCCUUUUACAGUUCAUCUUCACUCAACUACCUCCAUCCACUUCCUAUCCUUCUCCUUCAGGAGAUUUCUCUGUGCUGUGAAACACAGAGCUGCACUCUGUUUAAGCCAACACGAUUCAGUCAGUACUGCAGUCCAAAUCCGACUUUAGCCUUAGCGUGAUAUCGGAAAAUGUAACGGAUCACGGAGGGAAACACCAAACUACUUCUUUGUGUGGCGGCACUUAUGAUUUUACGACCUGGAAUUAGUCAAAAAGAAAGGAAACGCGACCAACUCCGGCUGUACAUGAAGAGCAGCUCAUGGAAAUGAAGGAAUGUUGUGUAGUUUUAAAUAAGAAAGAAGCUAAAGCUGACCUGUGUGCUGGUGAAGUCUCUCAUUCUUCUCGCGCUGUUGUUCCUCUCCACCCCGGCAUUGUGGCCCAUUCAGGAAGUCUUCAACAGGAUCUUCCCCUCUCUCUCUCUCUCUCUCUCUCUCUCUCUCUCUCUCUCACACACACACACACACACACACACACACACACACACACUUUCAUCUGUCUCUGUUCUCUCUUUUGUCUUCCUUCCCACCCUUAAUUUUUUUCUACUUCUUCCCACUUUUCUCCUCUUGCUCUCUUUCUCACUCUUUCAUUUGUCUCUUCUCUAUUGCAGUCUCUUUUUAUAUUCUCCCACACUUUUAAUUUACUCUUUUAUCAUUUUCCUCAUCUUUCUAUUUAGAUUUCUGCCCCCUAUUUUUCUUCAGCUCUUUUACCUCUUAUUACAGUAAUCAUCUCUUUUUUU